RNAcentral lists this ribosomal RNA (497 nucleotides) under uncultured bacterium. RNAcentral describes it as "partial 16S ribosomal RNA". It matches the Rfam family "Bacterial small subunit ribosomal RNA", at positions 28 to 507 of the family's 1533-position model. The record is from RNAcentral.
GAUGAACGCUGGCGGCGUGCCUAAUACAUGCAAGUCGAGCGAACAGAUGAGGAGUUUGCUCCUCUGACGUUAGCGGCGGACGGGUGAGUAACACGUGGAUAACCUACCUAUAAGACUGGGAUAACUUCGGGAAACCGGAGCUAAUACCGGAUAAUAUAUUGAACCGCAUGGUUCAAUAGUGAAAGACGGUUUUGCUGUCACUUAUAGAUGGAUCCGCGCCGCAUUAGCUAGUUGGUAAGGUAACGGCUUACCAAGGCAACGAUGCGUAGCCGACCUGAGAGGGUGGUCGGCCACACUGGAACUGAGACACGGUCCAGACUCCUACGGGAAGCAGCAGUAGGGAAUCUUCCGCAAUGGGCGAGAGCCUGACGGAACAACGCCGCGUGAGUGAUGAAGUUCUUCGGAUCGUAAAACUCUGUUAUUAGGGAAGAACAAAUGUGUAAGUAACUAUGCACGUCUUGACGGUACCUAAUCAGAAAGCCACGGCUAACUACGUG